Molecule: ribosomal RNA, 1395 nt
Filed under: metagenome
Description: bacterial LSU rRNA
Rfam family: Bacterial large subunit ribosomal RNA
Source: RNAcentral
CCUUAAUCCUGAGGUGCCGGAGCUAGGUCUCUUUUGACCGAAGCUGGUGACGCCACGCUGCCGAGAAAAGCCUCUGAGGAGUGGAGUGGGUACCCGUACCGCAAACCGACACAGGUAGGCGAGGAGAAAAUCCUCAGGCGCAAGUGUGAUCCCCCGUUUAGGAACUCGGCAAAUUGGCCCCGUAACUUCGGAAGAAGGGGUGCUCCUACUCGUCAUCCGACUUGCUCGGAGAAGCGUGAGGGAGUUGCAAUAAAGAGGCUCAGGCGACUGUUUACUAAAAACACAGGGCUCUGCGAAGUCGAACACGACGUAUAGGGUCUGACGCCUGCCCGGUGCCGGAAGGUUAAAGGGAGGGGUUAGCUGCAAGGCGAAGCUCUGAACUGAAGCCCCGGUAUACGGCGGCCGUAACUAUAACGGUCCUAAGGUAGCGAAAUUCCUUGUCGGGUAAGUUCCGACCUGCACGAAUGGCGUAACAAUCUGAGCGCUGUCUCAACGGGGAGCACUGCGAAUUUGUGGUACCGGUGAAGACGCCGGUUGCCCGUCACAAGACGAAAAGACCCCGUGCACCUUUACUACAUCCUAGUAGUGAAUGCUGGCGCAGUAUGCGCAGGAUAGGUGGGAGGCUUUGAACCCGGGAUUUCGGUUUCGGGGGAGCCAACGGUGAGAUACCACCCUUACUGCUCCGGCGUUCUAACCUCGACCUGUUAUCCAGGUCAGGGACACUGCUAGGUGGGUAGUUUGACUGGGGCGGUCGCCUCCUAAAGAGUAACGGAGGCGCACGAAGGUUCGCUCAGGCUGUUUGGAAAUCAGCCAUAGAGUGCAAAGGCAUAAGCGAGCUUGACUGCGAGACUUACAAGUCGAGCAGGUGGGAAACCAGGUCUUAGUGAUCCGGUGGUUCCGCAUGGAAGGGCCAUCGCUCAACGGAUAAAAGGUACGCCGGGGAUAACAGGCUGAUCCUAGCCAAGAGUUCACAUCGACGCUAGGGUUUGGCACCUCGAUGUCGGCUCAUCGCAUCCUGGAGCUGUAGCAGGUUCCAAGGGUCCGGCUGUUCGCCGGUUAAAGCGGUACGUGAGCUGGGUUUAGAACGUCGCGAGACAGUUCGGUCUCUAUCUGUGAUGGGCGCAGGAGAUUUGAGUGGGGCUGACCUUAGUACGAGAGGACCGGGUUGGACGGACCUCUAGUGUAUCGGUUGUCGCGCCAGCGGCAGUGCCGAGUAGCUACGUCCGGAAGGGAGAAACGCUGAAGGCAUCCAAGCGUGAAACCCUCCACGAGAUGAGAUCUCCCAGGUCGCAAGACCUCUAAAGGCUCCUGGUAGACUACCAGGUUGAUAGGCCAGGUGUGGAAGCGCAGCGAUGCGUUAAGCUAACUGGUACUAAUCAGCCGUGAGGCUUGACC